GAUGAACGCUGGCGGCGUGCCUAAUACAUGCAAGUCGAGCGAACAGAUGAGGAGCUUGCUCCUUUGACGUUAGCGGCGGACGGGUGAGUAACACGUGGAUAACCUACCUAUAAGACUGGGAUAACUUCGGGAAACCGGAGCUAAUACCGGAUAAUAUUUUGAACCGCAUGGUUCGAUAGUGAAAGAUGGUUUUGCUGUCACUUAUAGAUGGACCCGCGCCGCAUUAGCUAGUUGGUAAGGUAACGGCUUACCAAGGCGACGAUCCGUAGCCGACCUGAGAGGGUGAUCGGCCACACUGGAACUGAGACACGGUCCAGACUCCUACGGGAGGCAGCAGUAGGGAAUCUUCCGCAAUGGGCGAAAGCCUGACGGAGCAACGCCGCGUGAGUGAUGAAGGUCUUCGGAUCGUAAAACUCUGUUAUUAGGGAAGAACAUAUGUGUAAGUAACUGUGCACGUCUUGACGGUACCUAAUCAGAAAGCCACGGCUAACUACGUG
Molecule: ribosomal RNA, 497 nt
Filed under: uncultured bacterium
Lineage: Bacteria
Description: partial 16S ribosomal RNA
Rfam family: Bacterial small subunit ribosomal RNA
Source: RNAcentral